Molecule: long non-coding RNA, 215 nt
Filed under: Olea europaea (common olive)
Lineage: Eukaryota; Viridiplantae; Streptophyta; Magnoliopsida; Lamiales; Oleaceae
Description: long non-coding RNA (OEUR_LNC004204)
Source: RNAcentral
UCACACAAUAUUCUCGAUCAUAAUCUAUCAUUUUUAGUGGUCACAUAUUGUUUAUUGAUCACAGAUUAACCAAUUUAAUGGUCACGAUCAAUCAAAUAAUACGUGACCACAACCAAACCACCACUCCCUUCAACAACACCAUCGCCUGAACCACCAGCACCAUCACCGACAACAACGCUAUAGUCUCAAACAAAAAAUCAACUCCAAAAUUAUCA